Molecule: transfer RNA, 73 nt
Filed under: Bacillus subtilis
Lineage: Bacteria; Bacillati; Bacillota; Bacilli; Caryophanales; Bacillaceae
Also listed under: 1 other name
Description: tRNA-Glu
Rfam family: tRNA
About the family: Transfer RNA (tRNA) molecules are approximately 80 nucleotides in length.
Source: RNAcentral
GGCUCCGUUGGUCAAGCGGUUAAGACACCGCCCUUUCACGGCGGUAACACGGGUUCGAAUCCCGUACGGGUCA